Molecule: ribosomal RNA, 256 nt
Filed under: uncultured bacterium
Lineage: Bacteria
Description: partial 16S ribosomal RNA
Rfam family: Bacterial small subunit ribosomal RNA
Source: RNAcentral
UAAUACGAAGGGGGCUAGCGUUGUUCGGAUUUACUGGGCGUAAAGCGCGUGUAGGCGGGUCGUUAAGUUGGGGGUGAAAUCCCGGAGCUCAACUCCGGAACUGCCUUCAAAACUGGCGACCUGGACUCAAGCAGAGGCAAGUGGAAUUGCGAGUGUAGAGGUGAAAUUCGUAGAUAUUCGCAGGAACACCAGUGGCGAAGGCGACUUGCUGGGCUUGUAGUGACGCUGAGACGCGAAAGCGUGGGGAGCAAACAGG